RNAcentral lists this ribosomal RNA (391 nucleotides) under uncultured bacterium. Its description in RNAcentral is "bacterial SSU rRNA". It matches the Rfam family "Bacterial small subunit ribosomal RNA", at positions 28 to 420 of the family's 1533-position model. The record is from RNAcentral.
GACGAACGCUGGCGGCGUGCUUAACACAUGCAAGUCGAGCGGUAAGGCCCUUUCGGGGUACGACGAGCGGCGAACGGGUGAGUAACACGUGGGUGACCUGCCCUUACGCUCUGGGAUAAGCCUGGGAAACUGGGUCUAAUACCGGAUAUGACUCCAUGACGCAUGUUGUGGGGUGGAAAGCCUUGUGCGGCUAGGGAUGGGCCCGCGGCCUAUCAGCUUGUUGGUGGGGUGAUGGCCACCAAGGCGACGACGGGUAGCCGGCCUGAGAGGGCGACCGGCCACACUGGGACUGAGACACGGCCCAGACUCCUACGGGAGGCAGCAGUGGGGAAUCUUGCGCAAUGGGCGAAAGCCUGACGCAGCGACGCCGCGUGAGGGAUGACGGCCUCGG